RNAcentral lists this ribosomal RNA (465 nucleotides) under Vreelandella stevensii. RNAcentral describes it as "partial 16S ribosomal RNA". It matches the Rfam family "Bacterial small subunit ribosomal RNA", at positions 338 to 795 of the family's 1533-position model. The record is from RNAcentral. Lineage: Bacteria; Pseudomonadati; Pseudomonadota; Gammaproteobacteria; Oceanospirillales; Halomonadaceae.
CCUACGGGAGGCAGCAGUGGGGAAUAUUGGACAAUGGGGGGAACCCUGAUCCAGCCAUGCCGCGUGUGUGAAGAAGGCCCUCGGGUUGUAAAGCACUUUCAGUGAGGAAGAACGCCUGGUGGUUAAUACCCAUCAGGAAAGACAUCACUCACAGAAGAAGCACCGGCUAACUCCGUGCCAGCAGCCGCGGUAAUACGGAGGGUGCGAGCGUUAAUCGGAAUUACUGGGCGUAAAGCGCGCGUAGGUGGCUUGAUAAGCCGGUUGUGAAAGCCCCUGGCUCAACCUGGGAACGGCAUCCGGAACUGUCAAGCUAGAGUGCAGGAGAGGAAGGUAGAAUUCCCGGUGUAGCGGUGAAAUGCGUAGAGAUCGGGAGGAAUACCAGUGGCGAAGGCGGCCUUCUGGACUGACACUGACACUGAGGUGCGAAAGCGUGGGUAGCAAACAGGAUUAGAUACCCCUGUAGUC